This 348-nucleotide unclassified non-coding RNA is filed under the name soil metagenome. RNAcentral describes it as "partial contains 5.8S ribosomal RNA, internal transcribed spacer 2, and large subunit ribosomal RNA". The stretch from base 1 to 120 matches the Rfam family "5.8S ribosomal RNA", at positions 35 to 154 of the family's 154-position model. The record is from RNAcentral.
GAUGAAGAACGUAGCGAAAUGCGAAAAGUAAUGUGAAUUGCAGAAUUCAGUGAACCAUCGAAUCUUUGAACGCACAUUGCGCCCGCUGGAACUCCGGCGGGCACGCCUGUCCGAGCGUCAUUUCAACCCUCAGGCCCCCCUUCGCGGGCGGGCCUGGUGUUGGGGCCCGGCCGCUACCCUGCGGCCGUCCCCUAAAUUCAGUGGCGGCCUCGCCGUGAUCCCUUGCGUAGUAAUGCACCUCGCACCGGGGAGCGCCGUGGCCACGCCGUAAAACCCCCAAUUUUCAAUGGUUGACCUCGGAUCAGGUGGGAAUACCCGCUGAACUUAAGCAUAUCAAUAAGCGGAGGA